This 2836-nucleotide unclassified non-coding RNA is filed under the name Hevea brasiliensis (rubber tree). The record is from RNAcentral. Lineage: Eukaryota; Viridiplantae; Streptophyta; Magnoliopsida; Malpighiales; Euphorbiaceae.
CGAUGCCAUUUUGUCUCGCUCUCAAUUGUAGCCAGUUCACUACAACUACAGGGAGCAAUACUCAUCUUUGUCCUGUCACUCACUUGCGUUGCCGCUCAUUGACCGUUAAGUUUCGUGCCACCGUCGCCGGCGAGUCAGAUAUGGCAGCCUUAACAGUCCGAGUCGCUGCAGCUCAGAUGACUUCAAUCAACGACCUCGCUGCCAAUUUCGCUACCUGCUCUCGCCUUACCAAAGAAGCAGCAGCUGCUGGGGCAAAAUUGCUUUGUUUGCCAGAAAGUUUCUCUUUUAUUGGGGCUAAGGAUGGGGACAGUGUUAAGGUUGCAGAACCUUUGGAUGGUCCAAUCAUGCAACAGUAUUGCUCCUUGGCUAGAGAGUCUGGCAUUUGGUUAUCGCUUGGAGGCUUCCAAGAAAGAGGUUGUGAUGAUGCACACCUGCGCAACACGCAUGUUAUCAUUGAUGACAGUGGGAACAUUAGAGACACUUAUCGGAAAAUAUUCUUGUUUGAUGUAGAUGUUCCUGGCGGAAGAGUAUACAAGGAAAGCAGCUUUACAGAAGCUGGAAAGGAUAUAGUUGCAGUUGAUAGCCCUGCUGGACGCUUGGGUCUGUCAGUUUGCUAUGAUUUAAGAUUCCCAGAGCUUUACCAGCAGCUCAGGUUCCAAAAAGAAGCACAGAUUCUUUUGGUACCUGCAGCUUUUACAAAAAUUACCGGUCAGGCACACUGGGAGAUUCUGCUUCGAGCUCGUGCAAUUGAGACUCAGUGCUAUGUGUGAAAUCCAUUCUCACUUUAACUGAACUAAGCCUGUCUCAAUUAAUGUGAUUGUUGAUAAUUCAUAAAAAUAAUUUAUGGAUUUUUAUUUGAUGCCCCCACUAAAUUUUCCCCCCUAAUACAUUCAAAAAUGUCUAUCAAAGCUGCUAGAUCUACCAAACCUUGAUAAAAAUUUUAUGCAGAAGGCUCAUUAUAAUUCUUUUUAUUUCUAAUUAAAAAAUAAAAAUAAAGUAGCAUAUGUAAUAGUCAAGUAAAAGGUACCAAAAAAUAAAAUUAAAAGCUGAUCAAUAAUAUGAAAGAAGAAAAAAGGGGAAGGGAAAGACAUUUACUCCAUACACUUUCACUCUCUCUAAAAACUUAAAAAUGUCAAUAUAUUUCAAAUUGUAUUUAUGAAAUUAAUAUUUCAUUGUUCCUUUUUACAUUUUUUAAUUGAUGCAGCUUUUUUUUUUGGUAUGUGAAUAUACCUUUUUAUAUUCAUAGAGGUAUGCUAUACUGAAAAUUGAAUUUGUUAUCUUCAUAUGAAUGGUGCCUCACAUGACAAAUUUCUGGCUUCACCACCUUACAUGAUAUUUCAUCUCACAUCUUUCUGGAAUGUGUACAUUAUCAGGUGAUAGCUGCUGCACAAGCUGGAAAACAUAAUGAUAAAAGAGAAAGCCAUGGUCAGGCAUUAAUAAUUGAUCCCUGGGGAACAGUAGUUGGUCAAUUGCCAGAUCGACUCUCAACAGGUAUUACUGUGGCUGAUAUUGAUUUUGCAUUGAUUGACUCAGUGAGAGCGAAGAUACCAAUCGCCCAGGUAAAUUCUGUUCAAUUCACCUAAAAACUUCAUUUAAAAACUUAAAAAUAAUCUUAAACCUGCAAUCCCGGGCCCAGUGAUUAACAAUAGCAUGUACUGUGGGCUCAAGACCUGUCUACUUAACAGUUGAGGGACAAACACUUUAAAUCCAUACUAGGUACACAGUCCUAUUGAUAUUUGUUUUGUUUUUCUUACAAACGUAAAACAGUAAACACGGCAUGGUGGGGCUCAAAUUGCUAUUAGGCGAGAUUUGAGUUUGUGGUAGCCCUGGUUGAGGUUUAGCCAGGCUGGCUGAGACAGCUCAAGUAAUGUAGUUGUUACCCAUGUUUGAGGGGAUGCAAUCCUUAUCCAAGUACAAAAGGAGAUAAUUUAAAUGUCAUGGAAUCCACAAUAUCAGAAGUAUUCUCAAAAGAUUGUUCACUGUACAAAAGUCUAAGCUUCAUUUAGUUUAUGGAAUAGCAUGGAGUAGGAUAGGAAUGGAAUAGCUAUUCUUAGUUUUGGUUCAAAUUUUAAUUGUGGAAUAACUAUUCUGUGGAAUAUAUUUUCCAAAAUCUAGUAUUCUGAUAGAAAUUCGAAAUGUAUAAAAAUUAUUAUUUAGAACAGAUAUGAAUUCAUGCAUAAGAAUAGCUAUUCAAGUGCAUGGAAUUGUAAUUCCUCUGUAAAGCAAAUGAAGCGCAAGUAAGAAUCGUAAUCCAACUAUUAAUUUCCUCUCCCUCAAAGGCUUCUUCGUAAUCUUCACUCUAGACUGCCCAAAGAAUAUUUUCUGGUGAUGGGAAUGCUUGUAAUAUAAAUGAAAUAUAUAUUUCAUAUCUUGGCAAAUUCUUAUGUUUGUAAUCAAAUGCAAUUUUGUACUUCAGCAACGGAAGCCCAUUGAUUUCUGGAAAUCUUCAUCUCUCUGAUUUGAGUCCUGCCACAUCUGCUAUAUCCAGAUGUUAGGUCAAAGCCACAUCAAAUUCUUACUGUGAUAUAAUUCAAGGACAUGCUUCUUAUUGCUCUCUGGAAGAAGUAUGACACAGUUAUGCCUUGUAAGUUGCAAAAUAAGUUAAAGUUUUCUUUGUCAGGGAGCUGUUUAUGUGCACUUCAUUUUAUCCAUAUCUCUGUAAUUAGAUUCUUGUGCUAUUAGUAAACAAUAUAUUCAUCUAAUUUCCUAUAGUCGAUGGGUUGCGACAAUUCUGAAAAAAUUCAAACAUUUAAUGCCUUCCCUUUAUUCUGGAUCCAGUAAAUUACUCAAGUGAUAACAGCUUCUAGCAAAUUGUUACUGUAAAAAAAUGUUAAAG